CCGACGGUAGCUCAGCCUGGUAGAGCGGCGACGUAGUGCGCGGGUCAUCGGUUCGAAUCCGAUCCGUCGGU
RNAcentral lists this transfer RNA (71 nucleotides) under Lysobacter antibioticus. RNAcentral describes it as "tRNA-OTHER". It matches the Rfam family "tRNA". From Rfam's summary of the family: Transfer RNA (tRNA) molecules are approximately 80 nucleotides in length. Their secondary structure includes four short double-helical elements and three loops (D, anti-codon, and T loops). The record is from RNAcentral. Lineage: Bacteria; Pseudomonadati; Pseudomonadota; Gammaproteobacteria; Lysobacterales; Lysobacteraceae.